This 440-nucleotide ribosomal RNA is filed under the name uncultured bacterium. RNAcentral describes it as "partial 16S ribosomal RNA". It matches the Rfam family "Bacterial small subunit ribosomal RNA", at positions 338 to 795 of the family's 1533-position model. The record is from RNAcentral.
CCUACGGGAGGCAGCAGUGGGGAAUAUUGCACAAUGGGGGAAACCCUGAUGCAGCGACGCCGCGUGAGUGAAGAAGUAUUUCGGUAUGUAAAGCUCUAUCAGCAGGGAAGAAAAUGACGGUACCUGAUUAAGAAGCCCCGGCUAACUACGUGCCAGCAGCCGCGGUAAUACGUAGGGGGCAAGCGUUAUCCGGAUUUACUGGGUGUAAAGGGAGCGUAGACGGCAGCGCAAGUCUGAAGUGAAAUGCCGGGGCUUAACCCCGGAACCGCUUUGGAAACUGUGCGGCUAGAGUGCAGGAGAGGUAAUUGGAAUUCCUAGUGUAGCGGUGAAAUGCGUAGAUAUUAGGAGGAACACCAGUGGCGAAGGCAGCUUACUGGACUGUAACUGACGUUGAGGCUCGAAAGCGUGGGGAGCGAACAGGAUUAGAUACCCUGGUAGUC